RNAcentral lists this non-coding RNA (45 nucleotides) under Echinostoma caproni. Lineage: Eukaryota; Metazoa; Platyhelminthes; Trematoda; Plagiorchiida; Echinostomatidae. The record is from RNAcentral.
GCAUUGCUGAAGAGACCCAACCAGAUCGAAACUGCUGUCCAGUAC